This 253-nucleotide ribosomal RNA is filed under the name uncultured bacterium. RNAcentral describes it as "partial 16S ribosomal RNA". It matches the Rfam family "Bacterial small subunit ribosomal RNA", at positions 524 to 776 of the family's 1533-position model. The record is from RNAcentral.
UACGGAGGGGGCGAGCGUUAUUCGGAAUUAUUGGGCGUAAAGGGCGCGUAGGCGGCCUUGUAAGUCAAAGGUGAAAUCCCUCGGCUCAACUGAGGAACUGCCUUUGAAACUGCAAGGCUUGAGGCCGGGAGGGGGUAGCGGAAUUCCCAAUGUAGCGGUGAAAUGCGUAGAUAUCGGGAGGAACAUCAGUGGCGAAGGCGGCUGCCUGGCCCAAUACUGACACUCAGGUGCGACAGCGUGGGGAGCAAACAGG